RNAcentral lists this ribosomal RNA (342 nucleotides) under Ctenus captiosus. Its description in RNAcentral is "partial small subunit ribosomal RNA". The record is from RNAcentral. Lineage: Eukaryota; Metazoa; Arthropoda; Arachnida; Araneae; Ctenidae.
GGAUUAGAUACCCUAGUAUAUUUAAACAAAUUAAGGUAGUAAUAUAUUUAUAUAUAUAAACCUAUUUAUAUUGGCGGCAAUUCAUCUUAUUAAAGGAACUCGUUUAAUAAUCGACAAUUCUCGUUUAAUUUCACUUAAUUUAAAAAUUUAUAUAUCGCCAUUUAUAGAAUUAUUUCUAAAGAAUCAUUCAAAAUAAUUCAAUUAAAAAAAUUAGGUCAAGGUGUAAUUUACAUUUAAGUAUAAAUAAGUUACAUUAAUAAAUAUUUAAGGAUUAUUAUAUAACAAUAAUAUAUUAAAGAGAAUUUAAAUGUAAUAUUUUAAUAAAAAUCAAAUAUGAAUUAG